Molecule: ribosomal RNA, 614 nt
Filed under: uncultured organism
Description: bacterial SSU rRNA
Rfam family: Bacterial small subunit ribosomal RNA
Source: RNAcentral
GGCGUGCUUACACAUGCAAGUCGGAUGCGAACGGCGCUUUCGGGCGUUGAGUAGCAUGGCAGACGGGUGAGGAGCGCGUAUCUGACUGGACUCAGGCUGGGGGAUAGUCCCUCGAAAGGGGGUUGAAUACCGCAUGUGCUCGGUGCUGUGAGGGCAUCGAGGAAAGUUGGCCUCUGCGGGCACGCUGAUGGCCUGAGACAGGGAUGCGUCCUAUUAGCUAGCUGGUGGGGUAAGGGCCUACCAGGGCGACGAUGGGUAGCUGGUCUGAGAGGAUGAUCAGCCACACUGGGACUGCGACACGGCCCAGACUCCUACGGGAGGCAGCAGUGGGGAAUUUUGCGCAAUGGGCGCAAGCCUGACGCAGCAACGCCGCGUGCAUGACGACGCCUUUCGAGGUGUAAAGUGCUGUCGACCGGGACGAAGGGGCGAGGGUGAACAGCUAUCGCGCAUGACGGUACCGGUGGAGGAAGCCCCGGCUAACUCCGUGCCAGCAAGACGCGGAAAGACGGAGGGGGCGAGCGUAGAUCGGAAUUACUGGGCGUCAAGCGCGCGUAGGCGGUGCAGCCAGUGGUGCGUGACAGCACUCGGCUUAACCGGGGACGGGCGUGCCAAAC